UUCGCAACUCCAUUUUCCCAAAUUCCCUCAAUAUCUCUUCAAUAACUCCUUAAUCCCAAUCCCCUAACUUCCCCCCGCCGGCUCACGUCUUUCACCCCACUUUCCACUUUUUCAUUUUCCUCAAAUCAGUUACAGAGCACAAACAUAUGCAUCCAUAUAUAACUGAAGCUUCACAAACAAAAAAGGAGAGAACGAAAGAAAAAAAAACAGAGAAAAAAGAAAUCAGGAACGAGAAGUAAAGAAAAAGUAAAAAAAAAAAGGAGCAAAUUUUUGGAAAGAAAAACUACAAGAGAAGAAGAAUAUGAUUUUG
This 310-nucleotide long non-coding RNA is filed under the name Nicotiana benthamiana. Its description in RNAcentral is "long non-coding RNA (NBEN_LNC015151)". Lineage: Eukaryota; Viridiplantae; Streptophyta; Magnoliopsida; Solanales; Solanaceae. The record is from RNAcentral.